RNAcentral lists this ribosomal RNA (421 nucleotides) under uncultured bacterium. RNAcentral describes it as "partial 16S ribosomal RNA". It matches the Rfam family "Bacterial small subunit ribosomal RNA", at positions 360 to 773 of the family's 1533-position model. The record is from RNAcentral.
AAUAUUUGACAAUGGGGGCAACCCCGAUCCAGCCAUGCCGCGCGUGUGAAGAAGGUCCUCGGAUUGUAAAGACCUCUAAGUUGGGAGGAAGUGCUUUAGGCUAAUACCCUGUAGCUAGGACGUUACCACCAGAAUAAGCUCCGGCUCUCCAUGCGCCAGCAGCCUCGCUAAUACAGAGGUUGCAAGCGUUAAUCGGAAUUACUGGGCGAAAAGCGCGCGUAGGUGGUUCAGUAAGAUGGGUGUGAAAUCCCCGGGCUUAACCUGGGAACUGCUUUCAUAACUGCUGAGCUAGAGUACGGUAGAGGGUAGUGGAAUUUCCUGUGUAGCGGUGAAAUGCGUAGAUAUAGGAAGGAACACCAGUGGCGAAGGCGACUACCUGGACUGAUACUGACACUGAGGUGCGAAAGCGUGGGGAGCAAAC